AAAACUCCACCUCCAGCCUGGACCUACGGGUUAGUAUACACCGCUUGCCCCUACUCGUAUGGAGGAGUUUUUAUUUGGAGAGGUUCAGUACCACCGUGGUGACAGAGAGACUCGAACUCGAGACCUCUGGCACUCAUCUAUGAGAAGGAAAUACCACUAGGAUACCAUCACUUCUCUAAAAACUGUUAGAGUAAACUUUUUAUAGUGACAGACCCCACCGCAAAGCGGCCUCAUAUCCAGGAAAAACUCCACCUCCAGCCUGGACCUACGGGUUAGUAUACACCGCUUGCCCCUACUCGUAUGGAGGAGUUUUUAUUUGGAGAGGUUCAGUACCACCGUGGUGAUAGAGAGACUCGAACUCGAGACCUCUGGCAGUCAUCUGUGAGAAGGAAAUACCACUAGGAUACCAUCACUUCUCUAAAAACUGUUAGAGUAAACUUUUUAUAGUGACAGACCCCACCGCAAAGCGGCCUCAUA
This 477-nucleotide long non-coding RNA is filed under the name Arabidopsis lyrata. RNAcentral describes it as "long non-coding RNA (ALYR_LNC001744)". The record is from RNAcentral. Lineage: Eukaryota; Viridiplantae; Streptophyta; Magnoliopsida; Brassicales; Brassicaceae.